This 78-nucleotide transfer RNA is filed under the name Rhopalomyia pomum. Its description in RNAcentral is "tRNA-Tyr". Lineage: Eukaryota; Metazoa; Arthropoda; Insecta; Diptera; Cecidomyiidae. The record is from RNAcentral.
UAUUAAAUGACUGAUUAAAUAGUAAUAAAUUGUAAAUUUAUAUAUAUAUAUAAUUAAAUUGCAAAUUUAAUUUAUUUU